This is a long non-coding RNA of Ornithorhynchus anatinus (platypus), 1219 nucleotides long. RefSeq lists it as uncharacterized. The record is from RefSeq and is a predicted model, not a curated record. Lineage: Eukaryota; Metazoa; Chordata; Mammalia; Monotremata; Ornithorhynchidae. The transcript is spliced from 6 exons.
CUGGGACAGCUGAGCCGGGAGAAGGGAAGGAGCAAGAACCACAGGAAGGAAGGAAAGAAAGAGGAAGAGUAGAGGGGAGGAGGGAGGAGAAAGGAAGGAGCAAGGAGAGCAGGACAUUUCUGCUUGAGAGUCUGGAACUUUUAGGAAAAUUGGAGAAUAACUGAAAUGUUUCUUGGGAGGAAAGGCUGGCUGAGAAGAGAACAGCAAAUAGCCAGAAUCAGGUCAGUUAGAAAAGUCACAAGUGGUCACUAGAUUGGUACGAUCCUACCUUGCUCUCUUCUAGGGUGUCUGGAAUCAUCGGCAGAGGGGGAGGUUCUUGGGCCAAUAAGUUAAGAAGCUGUUAGGGGAGAGGGUUCUUUGACAGGGAGCUGGGGAUGAGACUGAAUCCUGUUUGGACAGAACUGAGUCCUGUUUGCUUGAGUCCUGGCUGGAGAGACCUAAGGCUCACUCCUUUGCAUGUGCAUCAUCAACAGCACUUCCCAAGUGUCUACAGAGCCCUGAGUACUGUCCUGAACACCAUCUGUGUACAGAGAACUGUUUGCCUAUGGGGAACAGAGCCAAGGCUGACUUCGGAUGGCUUAUCUCAGUCAGUCAUGAGAUGGAGGACUAAGGACUGAAAAUUCCUGACCCUGGAGAUCGUGUUGAAUUCCCUGAAGCAAAGCAGAGCUCUGCAGUGAAAAGCAUCGCUUUGAAGUUGAAAGACCAACUGGUUCUAGAACUUCAAUGCAGGUGAUCUCGCAUUUGAUUUUUGAAUGUGUCUUGUUGGCCAUGCUGAAGAAAUUGUUCCAGAAGCAGUUUCUGGCAGAAAAAAGGCAAGACUUAUCACCUCUGUUUUGGAGAUGGGGAAAUUGAGAGACCAACUGGUUCAAUUGCCCAAAUUGAGGUAUUUCAUGGAAUAUUAUUCUGUCCUCAUGCUCAGGUAAUUGGACUCCAUGAGCUAAGUCCUGCAUCACUUGAACCGGCCAAUCUGGGGGGCGAAGACCUAUCAAGGAAUGGAGUCUCAUAGUAAAAAUGAGGAAGAACAUCGUUUCAGCCUAUCUUUCCUCAGCAAGAACUCGGAAGUGCUGAAGGAUUAAAGGUAGAUCAAAUCCAUUCCCACUCUAGAAAACUCAGCCAGGCCACCAGCAUUAAAAAUCACCAGAGGGAGUGGCUCCCUCCCUAACGUUUUUCCAGGGUCCUCUUCCCGUCUCCCUCAGCUGUCAGGUGAUAACUUACCGGG